AGUUGCAUAGCUGCCUGGCAUGUUACUGGAGGUACUUUGCAGUCAUUGCUGGGAUUUCACUGAUGUGACCCCAACGCUGCCUCUCUCUCCACACCACGAUGUCGGAAGAAACUCAACAGAGUAAAUUGGCUGUGGCCAAGAAAAAGAAUGGGAAGCCAGGCCAAUGAGAACAGCCACUUGUCAUCAGGCUGUCCCUUUAGGAGUCACUGAAAGGGCCCCAGGAUGUGGUGAGGAGGGCCCCAGGCACUAGAAUUAAGAGAAGAUCUAACUUGCCACCAGAUUGCUCGGUGACCACAGAAAAAUCACUUCUUCCCCUGGGCCUCAGUUUUCUCCUCUUCCUCGAGCCGCUGUGAAGCAGUCCUCAAGUGGCAGUUAUGGCAGUCGGUAAAGGCUCGGGCACAGCUGGAAGCACACGUGACACAGAUGAUGGAACAAGUCCAGCUAGAGACAGAUGAAUAUGCUCAACAUCUAAAAGGAGAGAGGGCCCGGUGGCAGCAGAGGGUAUGGAAAAUGUCAGAGGAGGUUUGCACAUGGAAGGAGGAGAAGAAGCAUGACAGGCAUCGGGUACAGGAGCUGGAGAGGACUGAACCCCUGCCCCCGGAGCCCCCAGCAGGGCCCUCUGAGGUGGAACAGCAGCUACAAGCUGAGGCCGAGCACCCGAGGAAGGAGCUGGAGAGUCUGGCAGGACAGCUCCAAGCUCAGGUGCAAAACAAUCAAGGCUUGAGUCACCUGAACUGGGAGCAGGAGGAGAGGCUGCUGGAACGGGAGAUGCUGCGGGAGCAGGAGAGGCUGCAGGAGCUGGAGCACGCGCUCUCUCAGAACCAUGAGCUCGACUAGCAGCUGGCUGGGCCACAGAGCGGCUUAGAGGAGCUGGUGGCGUUUUUCAACUCCGCUGGAGCCAGUGCCCAGGAGGAGCAGGUAUGGCUUAUGUGGGCAGCUGAAGGAGCAAAGGGUGUGGUGCCAGCGCCUGACUCACCCAGGUGGCCUUGGCCCAGAAGGAGCCAGAGGUAGUGGAACCAGCCCCAGGGACUGGGUAUGAGUCUGUGUGUGGGUAGACUCAUCAGGCCCUGCAGGGGUCCAUGGAGAAGUUGCAGAGCGGCUUUAUGGACCUCCUGAAGGAGAAGGUGGACCUGAAGGAGUGGGUGGAGAAACUAGAGCUUCGAUCCAUUCACCUCUCAGGACAGACAGACACCAUCAGAAAGUAAAUCACAACAUAUGCGGGCCAGAGGGCAGUGCCACAGACGCCGCACCAGGAGGAGGAGGACAUCAUCAGGCUGGCCCAGGACAAAGAGGAGAUGAAGAUGGGGCGUGCAGCACCUCUGUGGGGGUAGGGGUGGGGUGGGCAUGAGCGAGGCCAGGGGCACUGGCACCAGCGUGGCAGCUGAGCACCCCUCCCUUCAGGUGAAACUGCUGGAGCUGCAGGAGCUGGUGUUGCGGCUUGCAGGCGAUCACAACGAGGGGCAUGGCAAAUUCCUGGCCGCUGCCCAGAACCCUGCUGAUGAUCCUGCUCCAGGGGCCCCAGCCCCUAAGGAGCUUGGGGCUGCUGACAAGCAGGGUGAUUUUUGUGAGGUGAGCCGACAGCCUGGAGCCUGCACCAGGAGAGGCCAGGGAGGGUUGUCCCCAUGACAACCCCACUGCACAGCAGCUCAUGGAGCUGCUUCCUGAGAUGCAGGACCCCCAGGAGUACCCAGGCUUGGGCAGCAGCCCCUGCAUGCCAUUCUUUUACCAGGCUGCCAAGAACAGGGAGCUAAACAUCACCAUCAUCUAGGAGCUGGUCAAGAAAUUAAAAAAGAAGAAAAAAAAGUUAUGGGGUUAAUCUCCUACACAAUUCAUUUACUUCAUUUGAAUGUU
RNAcentral lists this small RNA (1851 nucleotides) under Pan troglodytes (chimpanzee). RNAcentral's name for it is "processed transcript". Lineage: Eukaryota; Metazoa; Chordata; Mammalia; Primates; Hominidae. The record is from RNAcentral.